UGAAUAGCUCAACUGGUAGAGCAGUUGACUCUUAAUCAAUUGGUUCAGGGUUCGAGUCCCUGUU
Molecule: transfer RNA, 64 nt
Filed under: human gut metagenome
Rfam family: tRNA
About the family: Transfer RNA (tRNA) molecules are approximately 80 nucleotides in length. Their secondary structure includes four short double-helical elements and three loops (D, anti-codon, and T loops).
Source: RNAcentral